GAUGAACGCUGGCGGCGUGCCUAAUACAUGCAAGUCGAGCGAACGGACGAGAAGCUUGCUUCUCUGAUGUUAGCGGCGGACGGGUGAGUAACACGUGGAUAACCUACCUAUAAGACUGGGAUAACUUCGGGAAACCGGAGCUAAUACCGGAUAAUAUUUUGAACCGCAUGAUUCAAAAGUGAAAGACGGUCUUGCUGUCACUUAUAGAUGGUUCCGCGCUGCAUUAGCUAGUUGGUAAGGUAACGGCUUACCAAGGCAACGAUGCAUAGCCGACCUGAGAGGGUGAUCGGCCACACUGGAACUGAGACACGGUCCAGACUCCUACGGGAGGCAGCAGUAGGGAAUCUUCCGCAAUGGGCGAAAGCCUGACGGAGCAACGCCGCGUGAGUGAUGAAGGUCUUCGGAUCGUAAAACUCUGUUAUUAGGGAAGAACAUAUGUGUAAGUAACUGUGCACAUCUUGACGGUACCUAAUCAGAAAGCCACGGCUAACUACGUG
Molecule: ribosomal RNA, 497 nt
Filed under: uncultured bacterium
Lineage: Bacteria
Description: partial 16S ribosomal RNA
Rfam family: Bacterial small subunit ribosomal RNA
Source: RNAcentral